GGGACAGUAGCUCAGUGGUAGAGCUCUCGCCUCGUACGCGGGAAGACCUGGGUUCUUCCUGGCUGCUUUC
RNAcentral lists this transfer RNA (70 nucleotides) under Toxocara canis (dog roundworm). It matches the Rfam family "tRNA". Rfam says of the family: Transfer RNA (tRNA) molecules are approximately 80 nucleotides in length. Lineage: Eukaryota; Metazoa; Nematoda; Chromadorea; Rhabditida; Toxocaridae. The record is from Rfam by way of RNAcentral.